Molecule: non-coding RNA, 92 nt
Organism: Mycena leptocephala
Lineage: Eukaryota; Fungi; Basidiomycota; Agaricomycetes; Agaricales; Mycenaceae
Source: the annotation of a GenBank genome assembly
GUCCUCGUGGAUCAGUGGUAGAUCAUCCUUGGUCAUUCAUAUAUUUGACCCAUGCUAAAAGGAAGGUGUGGGUUCGAAUCCCACUGGGGGCA